This 1004-nucleotide long non-coding RNA is filed under the name Nicotiana benthamiana. RNAcentral describes it as "long non-coding RNA (NBEN_LNC015764)". Lineage: Eukaryota; Viridiplantae; Streptophyta; Magnoliopsida; Solanales; Solanaceae. The record is from RNAcentral.
AACUGAGGGAUGCUGUACUGCUUGUGUUUGCUAACAAGCAAGAUCUUCCAAAUGCUAUGAAUGCUGCUGAGAUUACUGACAAGCUUGGUCUUCAUUCUCUCCGUCAACGUCACUGGUAUGUGCUAUGUGGUGCUUCUUUAAUUGCAAGAUGUUUUAAGUUUGUGUGUAUAAUAAGCAUGGCUGGAGAUUACCAUGGUUCUCAUGUGCUACCAAAUGCUGAAUCUAUGACUUCUUCAAUUGCAAAAUGUUUUAAGUUUGUGUGUAUAAUAAGCAUGGCUGGAGAUUACCAUGGUUCUCAUGUGCUACCAAAUGCUGAAUCUAUGACCUUAUGUGACACAGGUACAUUCAGAGCACUUGCGCUACCUCUGGAGAAGGGUUGUAUGAGGGGCUUGACUGGCUCUCAAACAACAUUGCAAAUUUUGUUCUGCUAGUCGUUCAGAGCACUUGCGCUACCUCUGGAGAAGGGUUGUAUGAGGGGCUUGACUGGCUCUCAAACAACAUUGCAAACAAGGUGUGGACGCACUUAUUAUUACAUUUGGUUUUAUUUCUCGCUUUUAUUAGCUUUAAAAUAUGCAUUGUUGUUAUUGCAGGGUUGAACGGGGGAUCCAUGAUUUUUGCAGCUAUAUUUUUGUCAAUAUAGACUUCAACAAUGUCUAGAGCAUUUAUGUACUUACUGAUCUUUCUUUCGCGAGAUAUAUCUGCUUAUCCAUAUUGUUAUCAGUACAUUUACCCUUUUCUGUUAAAAAAUGGUAUUCUGCAGUAACUUUAGGUUAAAUUCAUGUAAUACUUUGCCCUUUGGCUGACAUAUGCUCAGCGACUGUGCCUUCAACAUUUUGUUUUAAUUGAGAUUAAGGUUCUCUCCCCGUAAUUGGUUGGUUGAAGUUGGUGAUGUUUCUCUACACUGCUGGUGAGCAUGUCUUUACUAUUUCUUGUGCUACUUAUAUCUGUUAGACAAAUUUGAAUUCGGAACUUUUAAGUAUUUUGUUGUGUUGAGAAGUUUAGGC